This 72-nucleotide transfer RNA is filed under the name bacterium. Its description in RNAcentral is "tRNA-Ala". It matches the Rfam family "tRNA". Rfam says of the family: Transfer RNA (tRNA) molecules are approximately 80 nucleotides in length. The record is from RNAcentral. RNAcentral also lists the same sequence under 1 other name.
GGGCUCAUAGCUCAGCGGGAGAGCACUGCGUUCGCAACGCAGGGGUCGGGGGUUCAAAUCCCCCUGGGUCCA